RNAcentral lists this ribosomal RNA (446 nucleotides) under uncultured Bacillota bacterium. RNAcentral describes it as "bacterial SSU rRNA". It matches the Rfam family "Bacterial small subunit ribosomal RNA", at positions 936 to 1382 of the family's 1533-position model. Lineage: Bacteria; Bacillati; Bacillota. The record is from RNAcentral.
AGCAUGUGGUUUAAUUCGAAGCAACGCGAAGAACCUUUACCAGGUCUUUGACAUCCUUUUGAAUGGUCUAGAGAUAGAUCAGGCCUUCGGGACAGAAGAGACAGGUGGUGCAUGGUUGUCGUCAGCUCGUGUCGUGAGAUGUUGGGUUAAGUCCCGUAACGAGCGCAACCCUUAUCAUUAGUUGCUAACAUUCAGUUGAGAACUCUAAUGAGACUGCCAGUGAUAAACUGGAGGAAGGUGGGAUGACGUCAAAUCAUCAUGCCCCUUAUGACCUGGGCUACACACGUGCUACAAUGGCCGGUACAAAGAGUUGCGAAACUGUGAAGUUAAGCUAAUCUCAUAAAGCCGGUCUCAGUUCGGAUUGUAGUCUGCAACUCGACUACAUGAAGUCGGAAUCGCUAGUAAUCGCGAAUCAGAAUGUCGCGGUGAAUACGUUCUCGAGUCUU